This 253-nucleotide ribosomal RNA is filed under the name uncultured bacterium. Its description in RNAcentral is "partial 16S ribosomal RNA". It matches the Rfam family "Bacterial small subunit ribosomal RNA", at positions 524 to 776 of the family's 1533-position model. The record is from RNAcentral.
UACAGAGGUGGCGAGCGUUGUUCGGAUUUACUGGGCGUAAAGGGCGCGUAGGCGGCCGAGCGUGUCGGGUGUGAAAUCUCCGGGCCCAACCCGGAAAGUGCGCCCGAAACUGCCCGGCUCGAGUGCGGGAGGGGGGAUCGGAAUGCAGGGUGUAGCGGUGAAAUGCGUUGAUAUCCUGCAGAACACCGGUGGCGAAGGCGGAUCCCUGGAACGCAACUGACGCUGAGGCGCGAAAGUGUGGGGAGCAAACAGG